RNAcentral lists this ribosomal RNA (498 nucleotides) under uncultured bacterium. RNAcentral describes it as "bacterial SSU rRNA". It matches the Rfam family "Bacterial small subunit ribosomal RNA", at positions 899 to 1397 of the family's 1533-position model. The record is from RNAcentral.
ACUCAAAGGAAUAGACGGGGGCCCGCACAAGCGGUGGAGCAUGUGGUUUAAUUCGACGCAACGCGAAGAACCUUACCUGGGCUUGAACUGUUGUUGAAAGCGGCAGAGAUGUCGUUUCCCGCAAGGGCAGCAUCAGAGGCGCUGCAUGGCUGUCGUCAGCUCGUGUCGUGAGAUGUUGGGUUAAGUCCCGCAACGAGCGCAACCCUUGCCCCUAGUUGCCAUCGGGUAAUGCCGGGAACUCUAGGGGGACUGCCCGGGUUAACCGGGAGGAAGGUGGGGAUGAUGUCAAGUCCUCAUGGCCCUUAUGUCCAGGGCUACACACGUGCUACAAUGGGCGGUACAGACCGAUGCGAAGCCGCGAGGUGGAGCGAAUCGGAAAAAGCCGUCCUCAGUUCGGAUUGCAGCCUGCAACUCGGCUGCAUGAAGUUGGAAUCGCUAGUAAUCGUGUAUCAGAACGAUACGGUGAAUACGUUCCCGGGCCUUGUACACACCGCCCGU